UUGACGGGGCCCGCACAAGCGGAGGAACAUGUGGUUUAAUUCGAUGAUACGCGAGGAACCUUACCUGGGCUUAAAUGGGGAGUGACAGCUGUCGAAAAAUGGUUUCUUCGGACACUCUUCAAGGUGCUGCAUGGUUGUCGUCAGCUCGUGCCGUGAGGUGUCGGGUUAAGUCCCAUAACGAGCGCAACCCUUACCGUUAGUUACCAUCAGGUUAAGCUGAGGACUCUAGCGGGACUGCACCGUAAGGUGAGAGGAAGGUGGGGAUGACGUCAAAUCAGCACGGCCCUUAUGUCCAGGGCUACACACGUGUUACAAUGGCCAGUACAAAGGGCAGCUACCGGGUGACCGGAUGCUAAUCUCUAAAGCUGGUCUCAGUUCGGAUCGAAGUCUGCAACCCGACUUCGUGAAGCUGGAUUCGCUAGUAAUCGCGCAUCAGCCAUGGCGCGGUGAAUACGUUCCCGGGCCUU
This 467-nucleotide ribosomal RNA is filed under the name uncultured Sphingobacteriales bacterium. RNAcentral's name for it is "bacterial SSU rRNA". It matches the Rfam family "Bacterial small subunit ribosomal RNA", at positions 910 to 1382 of the family's 1533-position model. Lineage: Bacteria; Pseudomonadati; Bacteroidota; Sphingobacteriia; Sphingobacteriales. The record is from RNAcentral.